Molecule: ribosomal RNA, 813 nt
Filed under: uncultured organism
Description: bacterial SSU rRNA
Rfam family: Bacterial small subunit ribosomal RNA
Source: RNAcentral
UGCUUAACACAUGCAAGUCGAACGGGCUCUUCGGAGCUAGUGGCGGACGGGUGAGUAACGCGUGAGAAUCUGCCUUCAGGAGGGGGAUAACGACUGGAAACGGUCGCUAAUACCCCAUAUGCCUCCGGGUGAAAAGUAAUUCGCCUGAAGAUGAGCUCGCGUCAGAUUAGCUAGUUGGUGGGGUAAGAGCCUACCAAGGCGACGAUCUGUAGCUGGUCUGAGAGGAUGAUCAGCCACACUGGGACUGAGACACGGCCCAGACUCCUACGGGAGGCAGCAGUGGGGAAUUUUCCGCAAUGGGCGCAAGCCUGACGGAGCAAGACCGCGUGGGGGAUGACGGCCUAAUGGUUGUAAACCCCUUUUCUCUGGGAAGAAGACUGACGGUACCAGAGGAAUCAGCCUCGGCUAACUCCGUGCCAGCAGCCGCGGUAAUACGGAGGAGGCAAGCGUUAUCCGGAAUUAUUGGGCGUAAAGCGUCCGUAGGUGGUUAUUCAAGUCUGCUGUCAAAGCGUGGGGCUUAACUCCAUAGAGGCAGUGGAAACUGAGUGACUAGAGUGCGGUAGGGGUCGAGGGAAUUCCCAGUGUAGCGGUGAAAUGCGUAGAUAUUGGGAAGAACACCAGUGGCGAAAGCGCUCGACUGGGCCUGCACUGACACUGAGGGACGAGAGCUAGGGGAGCGAAAGGGAUUAGAUACCCCUGUAGUCCUAGCCGUAAACGAUGGAUACUAGGUGUUGCUCGUCAUCGACCCGAGCAGUGCCGUAGCCAACGCGUUAAGUAUCCCGCCUGGGGAGUACGCUCGCAAGAGUGAAACUC